Molecule: long non-coding RNA, 1473 nt
Organism: Dendroctonus ponderosae (mountain pine beetle)
Lineage: Eukaryota; Metazoa; Arthropoda; Insecta; Coleoptera; Curculionidae
Exons: 4
Source: RefSeq, a predicted model, not a curated record
AAGUAUGUCAAGUAACAGUGAGAUGUGCACUUUUUUGGUGGUGCAAACAAGUAAAUAAAAUUUUAAAUGGUGAUGAUGCAAAAUUUUCCAAGUUUUUAGCAGAAAAUCCAAACAGCCAUUACAUUGACCCAAUAAAAUUACAGGCCUAUGAAAAGUUCAAGAUGUCUCAAAAAUUUAGAAAGCAAAAUUCUUGAAUGGUACAAAUGGUAUAAUAGGCGGCAUGGUACAAAUAAACUGAUUUCGAGAGUGGAUAGGAGCGAUUCUCCUAACGGUCGACGUGGAUAAACUCUUUUCGCUAUUCUCGAAACGGAAAGUAACAAGAAAAUUUAAACGAUGGAACAAUGCAGUUAACAAACUCAGUUAAAUGAAUUGAAGAUAUUGAGCGCAAUUUUAAUUAAAAAAUGGACAAUACUCAUACCUAGGUAGAAAUGGAUAGAAUAAGAAUAAUAAAAAUACAUUAAAUCAAACUUGUCAAUAAACAAACUUCAGUGGCUUUAGUUGGGACAAAAAUGUGAAAACUGCCAGCAGCACAGUCACAAGUCGAGAUGCACAACCACGAUAAACCAUUCAGACGAAUUACGUUUAACUUGAAAUGUGGCCCAACUGAUGUCAUUAAUUUUAUCAACGGAGAAAUAGUUGCGAAAAUGCCGACAAGCAUCAACUACAAAUCCGCACAGAAGAGCCGACGCUAAACAUACAUCACAUGAUAUACGUUUUCAUCUGGUACUGAGUCGAGGAGAUGCUUCUAAAAGUUACUACAUCAAUUGAACUGUUACAGCCGGUAAAACAGAAUGCCAGAGUCCAAUGACGAAUCGCGCUAAAAAAGGAAAUCAUUCUAAUGUUAACCAACCAAUCAUUUUAAUGUUAAAAUUAUGAAAACGUGAGUAGCAAUUACAAAUUAACACUAGAUCUGAAGGGCCUAUUUGGAAAACUGUGACAAGCCACACCUCACAAGCAAAGACGUUAAAACAUGAUUUAGUUCAUCUGUUCAUCGUUCAACUAUGUAAAAUAUUCAUUUGAUAUAGUUUUUUGAAUCUUUAAAGCUCGUUUUCUUAAUAUAAUGAUCUGUAGCUUGUCGCUUUUUCCAAUAACCCCUUGCAUUACAAAUACACUUUUUAAACGUAAGGAUACACAAAUUUACUAGAGAAGUAAAACGUGGUAAAACGUCGAGGGAAAAGCUCUGGUAUGUUAGUAGAAAAUAAAACAGCAAAAUGUCAAAAAAUAAUGUAUGUUAUGACAAUGGUAAGAGUUACCGAUACUAUAAUUUUAUAUAAUUUAUAUUUGAAACUUUUAUUGCAUAAUUUACUAAUAUAAUGUUUUUGGCCCCCUCGUCACAGAAUAGCAUAGGAUUUUCUCUUACAGCUUGAGCCUAAGUGUGUCGUAGGAUACCCUCUAGGUGAUAGCUCUUGAUUACCUUUUGAUAAAGAAUUCGUUCUUUAUUGUGAAAUAAGAGCACUCUUUAUCAAUCUGUAA